This 530-nucleotide ribosomal RNA is filed under the name uncultured bacterium. RNAcentral's name for it is "partial 16S ribosomal RNA". The record is from RNAcentral.
CACGUAGUUAGCCGGGGCUUCUUCUGGAGGUACCGUCACCCUCUGGGCUAUUCACCCGAGGGGCUUCGUCCCUCCUGAAAGCGGUUUACAACCCGAAGGCCUUCUUCCCGCACGCGGCGUCGCUGCGUCAGGCUUUCGCCCAUUGCGCAAGAUUCCCCACUGCUGCCUCCCGUAGGAGUCUGGGCCGUGUCUCAGUCCCAGUGUGGCUGGUCAUGCUCUCACACCAGCUACGGAUCGUCGCCUUGGUGAGCCGUUACCUCACCAACAAGCUAAUCCGCCGCGGGCCCAUCCUCGGUCGGAGGCCGAAGCUACCUUUUCUCCGCUGCCCGAAAGCUGCGGAGGCCAUCUGGUAUUAGCACCGGUUUCCCGAAGUUACUCCCAGAACCGAGGGCAGGUCACCCACGUGUUACUCACCCGUUCGCCGCUCCGUACCGAGGGGCAACGCCCUGGCCGAUCGCUCGACUUGCAUGUGUUAGCGCGCCGCAGCGUUCGUCCGUCGACGCCGACGGACUACAACUCCUACUCGUACG